RNAcentral lists this non-coding RNA (148 nucleotides) under Pan troglodytes (chimpanzee). The record is from Rfam by way of RNAcentral. Lineage: Eukaryota; Metazoa; Chordata; Mammalia; Primates; Hominidae.
GCCGGGCAUGGUGGUGCGUGCCUGUAGUCCUAGCUACUUGGGAGGCUGAGAUAGGAGGAUCACUUGAGCCCAAGAGUUGAAGGUUGCUGUGAGCCAAGAUCGCACCACUACAAUCCAGCUUGGGCGUCAGAGUAAGACCCUGUCUCAA